GGUUUCGUAGCUCAGCUAGUAGAGCGUUUGCCACGUUGAGGCACGGUGUUUCUGUUGCUGGCUCGAAUCCGGCCGAAGCCC
Molecule: non-coding RNA, 81 nt
Organism: Paragonimus skrjabini miyazakii
Lineage: Eukaryota; Metazoa; Platyhelminthes; Trematoda; Plagiorchiida; Troglotrematidae
Source: the annotation of a GenBank genome assembly